GACGAACGCUGGCGGCGUGCUUAACACAUGCAAGUCGAACGGAAAGGCCCUGCUUUUGUGGGGUGCUCGAGUGGCGAACGGGUGAGUAACACGUGAGUAACCUGCCCUUGACUUUGGGAUAACUUCAGGAAACUGGGGCUAAUACCGGAUAGGAGCUCCUGCUGCAUGGUGGGGGUUGGAAAGUUUCGGCGGUUGGGGAUGGACUCGCGGCUUAUCAGCUUGUUGGUGGGGUAGUGGCUUACCAAGGCUUUGACGGGUAGCCGGCCUGAGGGGGUGACCGGCCCCAGUGGGCAUGGCGCCCCGCCCCGCCCCCCUCGGGGGGGCAGAGGUGGGGAAUUUUCCAAAGUGGGCGGAGGCCUGAUCAGCCACCGCCGGGUGGGGAAGGCGGGCUUCGGGGUUUAAACCCGUUUCCGCGGGUAACGAGGGGGGGGUGCCGGUAAGGGGAAAAGAGCCCCCGGCUCCCUCC
RNAcentral lists this ribosomal RNA (466 nucleotides) under uncultured bacterium. Its description in RNAcentral is "partial 16S ribosomal RNA". It matches the Rfam family "Bacterial small subunit ribosomal RNA", at positions 28 to 504 of the family's 1533-position model. The record is from RNAcentral.